AUUGAACGCUGGCGGCAGGCCUAACACAUGCAAGUCGAGCGGGGUUUUCGGACCUAGCGGCGGACGGGUGAGUAAUGCGUAGGAAGCUACCCGAUAGAGGGGGAUACCAGUUGGAAACGACUGUUAAUACCGCAUAAUGUCUACGGGCCAAAGUGUGGGACCUUCGGGCCACAUGCUAUCGGAUGCGCCUACGUGGGAUUAGCUAGUUGGUGAGGUAAUGGCUCACCAAGGCGACGAUCCCUAGCUGGUUUGAGAGGAUGAUCAGCCACACUGGAACUGAGACACGGUCCAGACUCCUACGGGAGGCAGCAGUGGGGAAUAUUGGACAAUGGGCGCAAGCCUGAUCCAGCCAUGCCGCGUGUGUGAAGAAGGCCUUCGGGUUGUAAAGCACUUUCAGUAGGGAGGAAGCGUUGAGUGUUAAUAGUACUCAGCGUUGACGUUACCUACAGAAGAAGCACCGGCUAACUCUGUGCCAGCAGCCGCGGUAAUACAGAGGGUG
This 499-nucleotide ribosomal RNA is filed under the name uncultured bacterium. RNAcentral describes it as "bacterial SSU rRNA". It matches the Rfam family "Bacterial small subunit ribosomal RNA", at positions 30 to 534 of the family's 1533-position model. The record is from RNAcentral.